This 337-nucleotide unclassified non-coding RNA is filed under the name soil metagenome. RNAcentral's name for it is "partial contains 5.8S ribosomal RNA, internal transcribed spacer 2, and large subunit ribosomal RNA". The stretch from base 1 to 120 matches the Rfam family "5.8S ribosomal RNA", at positions 35 to 154 of the family's 154-position model. The record is from RNAcentral.
GAUGAAGAACGUAGCGAAAUGCGAUAAGUAGUGUGAAUUGCAGAAUUCAGUGAAUCAUCGAAUCUUUGAACGCACAUUGCGCCCCUUGGUAUUCCAUGGGGCAUGCCUGUUCGAGCGUCAUUUGUACCUUCAAGCUCUGCUUGGUGUUGGGUGUUUGUCUCGCCUCUGCGUGUAGACUCGCCUCAAAACAAUUGGCAGCCGGCGUAUUGAUUUCGGAGCGCAGUACAUCUCGCGCUUUGCACUCAUAACGACGACGUCCAAAAGUACAUUUUUACACUCUUAACCUCGGAUCAGGUAGGGAUACCCGCUGAAAUUAAGCAUAUCAAUAAGCGGAGGA